RNAcentral lists this long non-coding RNA (207 nucleotides) under Gossypium barbadense (sea-island cotton). RNAcentral's name for it is "long non-coding RNA (GBAR_LNC023462)". Lineage: Eukaryota; Viridiplantae; Streptophyta; Magnoliopsida; Malvales; Malvaceae. The record is from RNAcentral.
AGAUGUGAGAGGAAGCAACCUCACAGAAAUAGAGUUUCAUUAACAAAUUGGCAAAAGUCCUUUUACAAAGAAAUGAGUAAACUAUUUAUAGACUAACAUGUAGUAGCCAAUUGGACACAUUGACUAACUUAAGGGCUAAGUAUCUUAGCUAUGAAUGCAUUAGAAUAAUCUAGAACAAGUCUUUAAUUUGCUAGGGCUAGAUUCGAC